RNAcentral lists this ribosomal RNA (253 nucleotides) under uncultured bacterium. RNAcentral describes it as "partial 16S ribosomal RNA". It matches the Rfam family "Bacterial small subunit ribosomal RNA", at positions 524 to 776 of the family's 1533-position model. The record is from RNAcentral.
UACAGAGGGUGCAAGCGUUAAUCGGAAUUACUGGGCGUAAAGCGAGCGUAGUCGGUUAUUUAAGUCGGGUGUGAAAGCCCCGGGCUCAACCUGGGAAUUGCAUUCGAUACUGGAUAGCUAGAGUUCGGCAGAGGGAAGCGGAAUUUCCGGUGUAGCGGUGAAAUGCGUAGAGAUCGGGAAGAACACCAGUGGCGAAAGCGCUCUGCUGGACCUGCACUGACACUGAGGGACGAAAGCUAGGGGAGCGAAUGGG